UAGGGAAUCUUCGGCAAUGGACGAAAGUCUGACCGAGCAACGCCGCGUGAGUGAAGAAGGUUUUCGGAUCGUAAAACUCUGUUGUUAGAGAAGAACAAGGACGUUAGUAACUGAACGUCCCCUGACGGUAUCUAACCAGAAAGCCACGGCUAACUACGUGCCAGCAGCCGCGGUAAUACGUAGGUGGCAAGCGUUGUCCGGAUUUAUUGGGCGUAAAGCGAGCGCAGGCGGUUUCUUAAGUCUGAUGUGAAAGCCCCCGGCUCAACCGGGGAGGGUCCUUGGAAACUGGGAGACUUGAGUGCAGAAGCGGAGAGUGGAAUUCCAUGUGUAGCGGUGAAAUGCGUAGAUAUAUGGAGGAACACCAGUGGCGAAGGCGGCUCUCUGGUCUGUAACUGACGCUGAGGCUCGAAAGCGUGGGGAGCAAACAGG
Molecule: ribosomal RNA, 429 nt
Filed under: Gemmatimonadota bacterium
Lineage: Bacteria; Pseudomonadati; Gemmatimonadota
Description: Gemmatimonadetes bacterium partial 16S ribosomal RNA
Rfam family: Bacterial small subunit ribosomal RNA
Source: RNAcentral